GUUCGAAGUGAUGCCCACUUCUGACGACCUCAACAUGGCGUGUUGCAAGGUGAAGAGUAGAUCCACUAAAGCAACCGAAGUGUCCCUCAAAUCCGAAGCGUUGAGCACUCCGAGACACUCCCUUAACAGAUCCCUCCUCCGCCACUGUCAGAAAGAUAAUCUGUGAGAAUCUCCUCUGCCUCCAAAGAUCAAGUGAUGUGAUGUCUCCAUAGGUCUAGUUGAUGUGAUUUAUCAACUUUAAGUGACUAAUCAACUUUAUGUCAACUCAACUCAGAAGAACUAAUUGCCCGCCCACUCUAGAUUCGGCUGAUUGAUGCCUAUGAGCGGACACCUCACACCGUCAGAUGCAUACAUGUGUCCCACAUCCAGCGGUGCUCUACCUCUAUAAAUACCCAAGGUUUGACAAGAGACAAAGGUAAUGAAACUCUUAUAACUUAGCUCUCCAUACUAAGAAAUAUAUAUUCUCCUCCCCACUCUCUUGCAUAACUUGAGCACUAUUCCAAUCAUCCAAUGUUGAAUUGACCGUCGGAGUGUAUGCGACCAUCACCACCACCGCUAGUUUCGGCCGUAUGCUUUUGAUCGUGCGUUGUUGUGCGCAGGGAGGAUUACAUGGAGUAGCUAUUCGUUGGCCACGUGGAG
This 639-nucleotide long non-coding RNA is filed under the name Olea europaea subsp. europaea. Lineage: Eukaryota; Viridiplantae; Streptophyta; Magnoliopsida; Lamiales; Oleaceae. The record is from RNAcentral.